This 440-nucleotide ribosomal RNA is filed under the name uncultured bacterium. RNAcentral's name for it is "partial 16S ribosomal RNA". It matches the Rfam family "Bacterial small subunit ribosomal RNA", at positions 338 to 795 of the family's 1533-position model. The record is from RNAcentral.
CCUACGGGAGGCAGCAGUGGGGAAUAUUGCACAAUGGGGGAAACCCUGAUGCAGCGACGCCGCGUGAGUGAAGAAGUCUUUCGGGAUGUAAAGCUCUUUCAGCAGGGAAGAAAAUGACGGUAUCUGAUCAAUAACCCCCGGCUAACUCCGGGCCAGCCGCCGCGGGCACACGUAGGGGGCAAGCUGUAUCCGGAUUGACUGGGUGUAAAGGGAGCGUAGACGGCAGCACAUGUCUGGCGUGAAAUGCCGGGGCUUAACCCCGGAACGGCUUUGGAAACUGGGCAGCUAGAGUGCAGGAGAGGGAGGUGGAAUUCCUAGUGUAGCGGGGAAAUGCGUAGAGAUUAGGAGGAAAACCAGUGGCGAAGGCGGCUUACUGGACUGUAACUGACGUUGAGGUUCGAAAGCGUGGGGAGCAAACAGGAUUAGAUACCCCAGUAGUC